Molecule: long non-coding RNA, 1037 nt
Organism: Oncorhynchus tshawytscha (Chinook salmon)
Lineage: Eukaryota; Metazoa; Chordata; Actinopteri; Salmoniformes; Salmonidae
Source: Ensembl
CACCCCCUCGCACAUGGACCGGAGACCUUCAAGCCUCCAAAAGAAACCAUAAAACCCGUCAACAAAAGCCUGCUCCUCCAGCACAUCCCGAUCUAACUUCCAGUACCCCCUACCAAAGAGGCAGACUGGCGACCCCACCUGCAGGAGCACCCCGUCGUGAUCUGAAAAGAAAACAGGCAACAGCCUCCCAGACAACUUACCCAAAGACCUGGGUACAAAAAUAUAGUUGAGCCUCCGCUCAACCCCCCUGGAGUUGCGCCAUGUAGGACCGGCCAUUUUCGGAGUAGUGUGCAGACCACCAUCAACCAGACCAUGGCAAGCCAUUAGCCCGGUAAUGGCGCCUGCACUGCUAUCCCCCCCUAUUCCUAAAUCUGUAUUAAAAUCCCCCCCAUCACUAAUUUCCUAUUUGUGACACACAGGGGCGUCAGACAGUCCACCAUCUCCCUCCUGUCUGCCACCACUUGUGGACCAUACACCACCACUAAUCUAAAUUUACAAUCCCUUAUCGUGACAUCCACCCCUAUAACCCUCCCCUGCAUUACCACAAAAGAAUCCUCCACUUUUACCUCCUUGUGCCCACACAAAAUCCCUACCCCGAUGAGUGCACCCCCAAUACCCCAAACCGACUCCCCCUUGUCCCACUCCCUCUUAAACCUACUAACAUCCCCCAACUCUCAGGUGAACCUCCUGUAAAAAACAAAAAUCAAACCCCACACCCUCCAAAUAACUAAAAACCGCCCUCCUCUUAACAAAAUCCCUUAAACCCCUUACAUUUAAACUAACAAAAGUAAAAUUAGACCCCAUGAAAGAAUAAAAUAAAACAUGUAAUACACUCAAAUUCUAAACCCAGACAGAAAAAAACUAAAACAGGGGACUCACCCGAUGCUCCCCUGCUCCAUAUCUACCGGUGAAAACACCAUCCGUACUCUCGACAUCCCCCCCAUCUUCCUCCAUCUCACCAACCCAGGAUGCAGGAAUAGUGUUUGGCUCCAGGGUGCCCUGCACCCUGGGUCUACCCCCACACUCCCCCCCUCCCC